CAUUCCAUACUUAAAGAUUGAAAUUAUUCCCUGUGUAUUCUCAGACCACAAUGCUUUGAAACUAGAACUCAACCACAAGAAAAAGUUUGGAAGGAAUUCA
Mustela erminea (ermine) is the source of this 100-nucleotide long non-coding RNA. RefSeq lists it as uncharacterized. The transcript has 3 exons. NCBI's taxonomy places the organism in Eukaryota, Metazoa, Chordata, Mammalia, Carnivora, Mustelidae. The record is from RefSeq and is a predicted model, not a curated record.